RNAcentral lists this ribosomal RNA (263 nucleotides) under uncultured bacterium. RNAcentral's name for it is "partial 16S ribosomal RNA". It matches the Rfam family "Bacterial small subunit ribosomal RNA", at positions 337 to 592 of the family's 1533-position model. The record is from RNAcentral.
ACCUACGGGAGGCAGCAGUAGGGAAUCUUCCACAAUGGACGAAAGUCUGAUGGAGCAACGCCGCGUGAGUGAAGAAGGGUUUCGGCUCGUAAAACUCUUUUGGUAGUGGAGAAAGAUAGAGGUAGUAACUGGCCUUUAUUUGACGGUAAUUAAUUUGAAAGUCACGGCUAACUACGUGCCAGCAGCCGCGGUAAUACGUAGGUGGCAAGCGUUGUCCGGAUUUAUUGGGCGUAAAGCGAGUGCAGGCGGUUCAAUAAGUCCUA